UGGGGAAUAUUGGGCAAUGGGCGCAAGCCUGACCCAGCGACGCCGCGUGGGUGAUGAAGGCCUUCGGGUUGUAAAGCCCUUUCGUGCGGAAAGAACAGUCCCGUGGUGAAUAUCCGCGGGAUUUGACGGUACCGCAGGAAGAAGCACCGGCUAACUCCGUGCCAGCAGCCGCGGUAAUACGGAGGGUGCAAGCGUUGUUCGGAAUUAUUGGGCGUAAAGGGCGCGUAGGCGGUUGUGAUAGUCAGAUGUGAAAUCCUUCGGCUCAACCGGAGAACUGCAUCUGAAACUUCACAACUCGAGUACAGGAGAGGGAAACGGAAUUCCCGGUGUAGAGGUGAAAUUCGUAGAUAUCGGGAGGAACACCAGUGGCGAAGGCGGUUCCCUGGCCUGAUACUGACGCUGAGGCGCGAAAGCGUGGGGAGCAAACAG
RNAcentral lists this ribosomal RNA (429 nucleotides) under uncultured bacterium. RNAcentral's name for it is "bacterial SSU rRNA". It matches the Rfam family "Bacterial small subunit ribosomal RNA", at positions 355 to 775 of the family's 1533-position model. The record is from RNAcentral.